RNAcentral lists this ribosomal RNA (253 nucleotides) under uncultured bacterium. RNAcentral's name for it is "partial 16S ribosomal RNA". It matches the Rfam family "Bacterial small subunit ribosomal RNA", at positions 524 to 776 of the family's 1533-position model. The record is from RNAcentral.
UACGUAGGAGGCAAGCGUUGUCCGGAAUUACUGGGCGUAAAGAGCGUGUAGGCGGCUCGAUAAGUCUGCUGUGAAAGUCCAGGGCUCAACCCUGGAAGGCCGGUGGAAACUGUCGGGCUAGAGUCCGGAAGAGGCGAGUGGAAUUCCCGGUGUAGCGGUGAAAUGCGCAGAUAUCGGGAGGAACACCAAUGGCGAAGGCAGCUCGCUGGGACGGUACUGACGCUGAGACGCGAAAGCGUGGGGAGCAAACAGG